UACGUAGGGUGCAAGCGUUGUCCGGAAUUAUUGGGCGUAAAGAGCUUGUAGGCGGUUUGUCGCGUCUGCUGUGAAAUUUCGGGGCUCAACCCCGAGCCUGCAUUCGAUACGGGCAGACUAGAGUUCGGUAGGGGAGACUGGAAUUCCUGGUGUAGCGGUGAAAUGCGCAGAUAUCAGGAGGAACACCGGUGGCGAAGGCGGGUCUCUGGGCCGAUACUGACGCUGAGGAGCGAAAGCGUGGGGAGCAAACAGG
RNAcentral lists this ribosomal RNA (253 nucleotides) under uncultured bacterium. RNAcentral describes it as "partial 16S ribosomal RNA". It matches the Rfam family "Bacterial small subunit ribosomal RNA", at positions 524 to 776 of the family's 1533-position model. The record is from RNAcentral.